This is a long non-coding RNA of Brassica oleracea var. oleracea, 959 nucleotides long. RefSeq lists it as uncharacterized. The record is from RefSeq and is a predicted model, not a curated record. NCBI's taxonomy places the organism in Eukaryota, Viridiplantae, Streptophyta, Magnoliopsida, Brassicales, Brassicaceae. The transcript has 6 exons.
UAUAACGUAUCUAAUUUGCAUUAAAACUUACUUUAAUCCGAGUUUUAACGUGAUUACCCCCACCUCCUACUCUCAAAACAUUCAAUUGGACUCAUCGUCUCCCAAUUAAACCGACGGGGGCUCCGACUAUAAAUCUCCUAGCGAUGACAGCACAACUUCACCAAAUCGAGAAGAACGAGGACCAGUCUCCAAGGAAGAUGACAGGCUUAAGAGUAUGUGAUCAGUGAUGCUACUGCGAUUGUCCAGACAAGUUUAUAGCAUCGUAUAAUAUCGUGGACGGUACUGUAUACCAGGCUCCACAGCGUUGUAGUGUCUUUGCAGCUCGAGUUGUUGGCUGUUUAUAAUAUUUAGAAGGCUUUCUCUGCAGGUGCAUUAAAGUAGGAGACCAUUAGGCAGGUUGAUGCCAAAAACCAGAAUGAGCCUUCUGAGACAAAGCCCCCAAUAAUACACAAUCUUUCACACCACUUCUCUUUCGAUUCAUCAAAAGAUGUCUUCAUAGAAAACAUGAAGCAACACACCUUAUAUAAGAAAAAAACGGAAUUGAACAGUAUAUAUGUCGAAGAAGUCAAGACUUCUUUGAGCAACGCGUUUCUUCAGGCCGAUCUUGCUUUAGCAAAGGACUGCAACAAAGGCUCUUUUCUCAGGUUUUUCUUCUGGUACCUGGUACCUCGGCUCUUGCUGCCCUUAUUUUUGGAAGACACUUAAUGGUUGCAAAUGCAGGAGAUGGCAGAGCUGUUCUCCGUAGGAAUGGUGAAGCCAUAGACAUGUCUCAAGACCACAAACCAAUCUACUUACCGUAAGGAAGAAAGUCGAAGGAAGUGGCGGCUUUGACGACGCCAAUUACUUAAAUGGCAUAGCGAUUAGGACAUGAAAUUACCACGAGGGUCACGAUCUCCACUCAUAGCAGAGUCAGGAGAUCAAAAGGAUACAUUUAACAGAGGAAGACAAGUUUCUGAUAA